This 435-nucleotide small RNA is filed under the name Pan troglodytes (chimpanzee). Its description in RNAcentral is "processed transcript". The record is from RNAcentral. Lineage: Eukaryota; Metazoa; Chordata; Mammalia; Primates; Hominidae.
ACCCCUAUUGGCCCCCGCGGCGUCCCGUCGCCGCGUCGCGUUGCUGGCCCGUCGGAGCGACGCCGCUCGGGUCAGUCGGCGGCCGGACUGGGAAGAUGGACGCAGCUACUCUGACCUACGACACUCUCCGGUUUGCUGAGUUUGAAGAUUUUCCUGAGACCUCAGAGCCCGUUUGGAUACUGGGUAGAAAAUACAGCAUUUUCACAGAAAAGGACGAGAUCUUGUCUGAUGUGGCAUCUAGACUUUGGUUUACAUACAGGAAAAACUUUCCAGCCAUUGCCAUUCAUCAUUGUUGUAUACCCUGGAGCUGGAAGGAGAUGGGGACUGGUUCUCAGCCUUGCCUCUCACCGGCGGAGAACUGAGGCCGGAGGUGAGGGCCGGGCUGGCGUCAUGCUUCCUCAGUGCCAGGAGGUUGUCGGGACAUUUCACUCUCCA